AUGGUGCACACUGCAUCUUUCAAGACCUUUUUCCUCUCUAAUGCCAUUGCACUUUUCACUUCAUUGGCCGUGGUGGUGGUUCAAAUAACAGUUGUUAGAGGGGAGAUAAAGUCCGAGCGGAAGGUUGUGGAGGUGAUCAAUAAGAUGAUGUGGUUAGCCUCUGUCUGCACCUCAGUUUCCUUCAUUGCAAGCAUCUUAUAUAGUAGUUGGUCGGCGCAGUCAAUGGGCUGCAAUCCUUGUUACUGUUGUAGGGGCAAUUGUAAUGGGUGGUGUUCUUGGAAUAGGACACAGUCAUGGCGUCUUUCUGAUUCUGAAUCAGAAGAAGUAAAUCCAAUUUAUGCUAUUUAA
Molecule: non-coding RNA, 348 nt
Organism: Vicia faba (fava bean)
Lineage: Eukaryota; Viridiplantae; Streptophyta; Magnoliopsida; Fabales; Fabaceae
Source: the annotation of a GenBank genome assembly